Long non-coding RNA from Perca fluviatilis (European perch), 3191 nucleotides. RefSeq lists it as uncharacterized. The record is from RefSeq and is a predicted model, not a curated record. NCBI's taxonomy places the organism in Eukaryota, Metazoa, Chordata, Actinopteri, Perciformes, Percidae. The transcript is spliced from 2 exons.
UUUGACAUGCACAAGAAAACUAUGAAAACUUGAAUCUAGAAACUUUUGACCUCAAAGAGCAUAAACUCUAUUACAUGGAGAACAAUAUUGAUCCCGAUAAAUAUUUCUACAAUAACAUCAACCGCACCUGUGAGUAUUACACAGAUGAACAAUUUAAAAGCAAAAUUAUAAUGGAUGGUACACUGUCAAUCAUACACUUCAACAGUAGAAGCUUGCAUAGCAACUUCUUUAAAAUAAAAGACUAUUUGAAAUUUUGUUCAAUGUUUAGUGUAAUUGCAGCAUCAGAGACUUGGCUUACAAUUGAGAAAGAAGCGGCUAUAGAACUACGGGGCUAUGAGCUAUUUUCAACUAAUAGAGAAUAUAAAAACGGAGGUGGUGUUGCACUAUUUGUGAACAACAAACUUAGGUGUAAAAAAGUAAUGGAAAUGUCAACAAAAAUGGAAAAUAUCAUGGAAUGUGUUACUGUAGAAAUAGAGGUGGAGAAAACAAAGAAUAGAUGGUUCACAUGUAUGAUAAAAGACAUAAUAACAAGAUGAUCUUUGUAUGUGGAGACUUUAAUGUAGAUUUGUUAAAAUUGAAGGAGCACAAACCUAGCAGUGAUUUUAUCGACACAAUGUAAAGUAUAGGUCUAUUACCUACAAUCUUAAGGCCAACAAGAAUAACAAAGGACAGUGCAACUUUAAUUGACAACAUCUUUACCAAUGAAAUUGGAAAUGGAGUACUAAGUGGAUUGCUUAUAUGCAAAAUUUCUCAAAGGAAAAUACACAGAGAAACUCCAAAAUUGCUAAGAUGAUUCAGAAAAAAACACCUGACACCACUUGAGGAGGGGUUAAGGCAGCAAACCUGGACAGAUGUCUAUUUAAAUCAUGACCCAAAUAAAGCCUAUGAUGAAUUCAUGUCAAUAUUUUCCAAAUUGCCCUUUACAGCAACUAAGGACAAAUAAAUAUGAAGAUAAACCCUGGAUCACUAGGGGGCUAGAAAAUGCUUGUAAAAAGAAAAAUGUAUUGUACAAUCAGUUUCUACAAAUUAGAACAAAGGAAGCAGAAACCAAAUAUAAGAAAUAUAAAAAUAAAUUGACUAGUAUAUUGAGAACUAAUAAAAAUGAUUACUUCAACAAACAAUUAGUACAGUAUAGAAACGACGCGGGGAACAUGGAAGGUGCUAAACAACGUAAUCUAAAAAGGUACUGGGAAAUCAGAUUACCCUGAAUAUUUUAAUAAAAACAACCAAUCAGUGAUAACUGACACAAAGGAAACUGCUAACUGUAUGUACACACCGCCGCCGACUUGAGCUUCUAAAGUUACAGGAAGUCAUUCAUUUUCAACGGAAGCUUCUCUCUGAAACUGAGAACGCUCGAGCUCCCCUAUUUUUGAGCCGCGUUCUAGGGACAACAAGGAGGAGCUGGUCAGCAGACCUUAACGACCUCAGAGAAGCUGGUCAGCAGACCUAAAUGACCUCAGAGGAGCUGGUCAGCAGACCUUAAUGACCUCAGAGUAGCUGGUCAGCAGAACUUAAUGACCUCAGAGGAGCUGGUCAGCAGAACUUAAUGACCUCAGAGGAGCUGGUCAGCAGACCUUAAUGACCUCAGAGUAGCUGGUCAGCAGAACUUAAUGACCUCAGAGGAGCUGGUCAGCAGACCUUAACGACCUCAGAGGAGCUGGUCAGCAGACCUUAACGACCUCAGAGAAGCUGGUCAGCAGAACUUAAUGACCUCAGAGGAGCUGGUCAGCAGACCUUAAUGACCUCAGAGGAGCUGGUCAGCAGAACUUAAUGACCUCAGAGGAGCUGGUCAGCAGACCUUAAUGACCUCAGAGUAGCUGGUCAGCAGAACUUAAUGACCUCAGAGGAGCUGGUCAGCAGACCUUAAUGACCUCAGAGUAGCUGGUCAGCAGAACUUAACGACCUCAGAGUAGCUGGUGAGCAGAAGUUAAUGACCUCAUAGGAGCUGGUCAGCUGACCUUAAUGACCUCAGAGUAGCUGGUUAGCAGACCUUAACGACCUCAGAGGAGUUGGUCAGCUGACCUUAAUGACCUCAGAGUAGCUGGUUAGCAGACCUUAACGACCUCAGAGGAGUUGGUCAGCUGACCUUAAUGACCUCAGAGUAGCUGGUUAGCUGACCUUAACGACCUCAGAGGAGUGUGCGGCUUUAAUAGUUCAGCGAUAUAAGCUGUGGCUUGACCAUAAAGAGAUUUAAAAACAAACAACAGAAUCUUAAAAUGUAUUCUAAAGCAAACCGGUAACCAAUGAAGGGAGGCAAGAACAGGUGUAAUGUGAUCUUGUUUAUGAGUUCCGGUAAGGAGCCGAGCUGCAGCAUUUUGAACCAUUUAUAAUCUUGAGAGCGAGGCCUGGUUAAUACCUACAUAUAAAGCAUUACAGUAAUCCAGGCGAGUUGUAAUAUGUCCAAUUAAACAACUGCAAGUCAGAUUUAUUGAAGGUUACAUGUGGGGUCCCACAAGGAUCAGUUCUGGGUCCUAAAUUGAUUCUAUUGUACAUAAAUGACAUUUGUUAAUGUGUCUAAAAUAUUAAAUUUGGUUUUGUUUGCUGAUGACACCAACUUGUUCUGUUCUGGCAAAAACCUUGAGUAGCUUUUGGAUACAGUGGAAACUGAACUUGAUUCUUUAAAACAAUGGUUUAAUCUUAACAAGCUGUCUUUGAACAUAAAUAAAACUAAAUACAUAAUAUCGGAAUUUUAAGAAGCCUAGACAUAUUACGACAAUAAUUGAAAUAGAAAGAGUAUAUGAUAACACAUUUCUGGGAGUUGUCAUAGAUCACAAAUUAUGCUGGAAACCACAUGUUAAUCAUAUUAAAACUAAAAUAUCAAAGUCCAUAGCUAUUCUGAACAAAACCAAAUAUAUUCUUAAUACUAAUUCUUUACAUGUAUUAUAUCAAUCCCUCAUACUAUGUAACUUAUGGUGUGGGAAAACAUAUAAAACAAUUACAAAUUCAAUCUUCUUACUGCAAAAGAGAGCAAUCAGAAUUAUAAAUAGGGCAAAUUAUUGUGAAUCGACAAAUCAGUUAUUCGUAAAUUUACAGGUAUUUAAAUUUAGUGAACUUGUAGACCUUAAAAUAGCAUCUCUAAUGUACAAAGUAUUUAAUAGCAUGUUGCCAGACUGUAUCCAGAGGCUGUUUCAAAUAAGAGAAUGCCAUUAUGAACUGAGGGGAAGCUGUAUUUUUACUAGACCAAAUAGCAG